UCCACUCAUCCUUCUUCCGACCCCGAGCCCACUCCCCGGCCCCCGCCCCCCGCCCCCGCCCCCGCCUUGAUUCAGAGAAGAAAUAGAGACUGCAGCCCGGCCGCCCCACAACUCACUCCAAGUGAGGGGUUGAAGCGCCCCAGGCCGCGGACUCCGCGAACCCACCCUCCCUCUCCUCGAGGGACACCUCACAGGUGCGCCUCCAAGCCGCGCGCGCGCGCUCCGCACACCCAGACGCCUCCGGGGGACAGCGCGCGUGCGCACGCACGAGGCCAGCGAGCCCCAGGGGAGCGGGGGCCGCACGCAUGCGCGCCGCCCGGCCCGCUCCCCUUCCCCCCUCCCCUGCCCCCGCCCCCGUCGGCCGCCCGCGCGUGCCCUCCCCCCAAUCCCAGGCUGGUCCCGGGUACCCCCCAACCCCCACCGCCCAGCGCGCGCGCGCUCCCGCUCGCCCGCCUCGCUCCUCCUCCCCCGCGCCCCACCCGGGCCCGCGUUACCCCGGGCAACCGCAGUGCGGCCGCACCUGAGCUUUGCGCCUGCGUCCCACUGGCCAGACCCUCCCUUCCCCUCGGUCCGUUCCCCAACCCCGCACAGCUGCGGGAGGGGGGCGUCGCCCCCUCCCCGGGAAGUGAGUAUCGAUCGGCCUCCCCCGCCCCUCCCCGCAGACACAAACCCGCCGCCGCGCCGGCGCCUCGGCCGCCCUCCCGGUCAGCGCGGACAGGCCUCGCCGCCCCGGCCCCCGCUCCCAGCGUGCACCGCGGCGAGCGCUCGGGUGGGAGCCGGCGAGAUGCGCUCGGCGGGCGGUGCCCACUGACCUCCCUCGGCGGCCGGGCCGGGGCAGGGCCGGAGCCGGGAGCCAGCCCCGCCCGCCGCCCCGCCCAUGGACCGCCGGCCCCCGCUGCCGCCCGCCCGGAGGACCGCGCCGAGUGGGGGAGCCGCCUGAAGGACCGCGACGGCCGCGCCCGCAGGUGCACCAGGAGCGCCCGAGGGCCUGGCCCUGCUUUGUCUGGGAUGCUGUGGGGAGGAGGCCGUCUGAAUCCACAUCGCCUAUUUAAAUGCGUUUUACCACCCCGUGGACGUUAGAGACCCUCCCAGAUAAGUUGCAUUGUCUUCUGUCCUGAUAACCCUUUACGAAAAGCAUCAUCAGAGCUCAGCAUGCGCGUUUCCUGAAUUUCUGAGUUUCUGCCACCACUGAAAAUUGAGAAAGCGCAAAGCCAGCCCAGUUCACGCUGGGAGAGCCACCUCUUGGGUUUGGUGCCCAUGUCAGCACCAGGAACCCACACAGUCGGCCCCUAACAGGAAUAACUGUCCAGGUGUAAAUAAGCUGCACCCAGUGAGAUCCCAUGUGUCACAGGCUCUGCAGAAUGUCCUGAACAAGUGCACACUUUCC
RNAcentral lists this long non-coding RNA (1387 nucleotides) under Balaenoptera musculus (blue whale). Its description in RNAcentral is "lncRNA (ENSBMSG00010021658.1)". The record is from RNAcentral. Lineage: Eukaryota; Metazoa; Chordata; Mammalia; Artiodactyla; Balaenopteridae.